UGGGGAAUUUUGGACAAUGGGCGCAAGCCUGAUCCAGCCAUGCCGCGUGCGGGAAGAAGGCCUUCGGGUUGUAAACCGCUUUGUCAGGGAAGAAAUCUUCUGAGUUAAUACCUCGGGAGGAUGACGGUACCUGAAGAAUAAGCACCGGCUAACUACGUGCCAGCAGCCGCGGUAAUACGUAGGGUGCAAGCGUUAAUCGGAAUUACUGGGCGUAAAGCGUGCGCAGGCGGUUUUGUAAGACAGAGGUGAAAUCCCCGGGCUCAACCUGGGAACUGCCUUUGUGACUGCAAGGCUUGAGUGCGGCAGAGGGGGGAAUGGAAUUCCGCGUGUAGCAGUGAAAUGCGUAGAUAUGCGGAGGAAACACCGAUGGCGAAGGCAAAUCCCCUGGGCCUGCACUGACGCUCAUGCACAAAGCGUGGGGAGCAAAACAGGAUUAGAUAGCCCUGGUAGUCCACGCCCUAAAACGAUGUCAAACNGGUUGUUGGGAAAGGUUCCUUCUCAGUAACGUAGCUAACG
This 516-nucleotide ribosomal RNA is filed under the name uncultured bacterium. Its description in RNAcentral is "partial 16S ribosomal RNA". It matches the Rfam family "Bacterial small subunit ribosomal RNA", at positions 355 to 857 of the family's 1533-position model. The record is from RNAcentral.